RNAcentral lists this ribosomal RNA (380 nucleotides) under uncultured eukaryote. Its description in RNAcentral is "partial 18S ribosomal RNA". It matches the Rfam family "Eukaryotic small subunit ribosomal RNA", at positions 592 to 976 of the family's 1831-position model. The record is from RNAcentral.
CAAUAACGUAUAUUAAAGUUGUUGCAGUUAAAAAGCUCGUAGUUGGAUUUGUGGCGUACGGUGUGUUCCGGGCACUUGUUGUCUGAGUAACCUGCUGUUGCCAUCCUUGGGUGGAACCUGUGUGGCAUUAGGUUGUCGUGCAGGGGAUGCCCAUCAUUUACUGUGAAAAAAUUAGAGUGUUCAAAGCAGGCUUAUGCCGUUGAAUAUAUUAGCAUGGAAUAAUGAGAUAGGACUUUUUUGCUAUUUUGUUGGUUUGCGCAAAGAGGUAAUGAUUAAUAGGGACAGUUGGGGGUAUUCGUAUUCCAUUGUCAGAGGUGAAAUUCUUGGAUUUCUGGAAGACGAACUACUGCGAAAGCAUUUACCAAGGAUGUUUUCAUUAA